This is a long non-coding RNA of Phoenix dactylifera (date palm), 733 nucleotides long. RefSeq lists it as uncharacterized. Lineage: Eukaryota; Viridiplantae; Streptophyta; Magnoliopsida; Arecales; Arecaceae. The record is from RefSeq and is a predicted model, not a curated record.
UCCAAGGCUGGAAGGUUAGUCUUAUUUUGAAAGAGAUCAAAAGAACUUGCUAUGAAUCAUAGAUGGAAAGGAUUAAGUUUUAAGAUGCCAUAAUUUUGCCAAAAUCUUGUGAGCCUGCAUUUCGAGAUGGGGAUUGUUUAGGAGCUCGGGAAUGAUAUGAUGUUUUUUUACUUUCAAAAUUUGAAGCCUUAAGUGAGUUAAUUUCGAGGACGAAAUUAUUUUAAGGGGGGAAGAAUGUGAGACCCAAGCCUUUUGGCCUCACGUGUGUCGCACGUGAGGGCACACGAUGAAAGGGAUUCAACACGAUCGCCCGAGGAAGAUGGAAACCCCUAUUUUUUUAGGGCUUCUUCUCCUCAUUUGAAAGCCACCUGAGGUAGAGCCGGCACGCCGAGUCCCCUUCCGGUUGGGUGAUCUUCUUCCUCGCUUGCAGCUGAAAAAAAAAAAAAAAAACUCCACUGCCUGCCGGAGAGGAGAGGAAGAGCCGUCGAAGAGGGUCAUCACAGUUCACCCCCGAAACCAGGUUCUGCGAGGGAUUUGCGGAAUUAAUUGGAUUUGUUGUGGAUCGCGUUCGCAAGAUUUCGAGAACUAGUCUAUUGGGAAUUCAAAAUUGGGAGAGCGACUAGAAGGAUUGUGGCACAAGUUAUCUUAGAUUAGGGUUAUUUAAGUUGAUUUGUUAUUAUGGACAUUUAUUAUGAUUGGUGGACUUUUAUUAUUUUACGAACUAGGUUUCUGC